Long non-coding RNA from Columba livia (rock pigeon), 439 nucleotides. RefSeq lists it as uncharacterized. The record is from RefSeq and is a predicted model, not a curated record. Lineage: Eukaryota; Metazoa; Chordata; Aves; Columbiformes; Columbidae. The transcript has 3 exons.
GGGAGAACAAGAACAAAAGUACAUAGCAACAUGUGCAGUUACUACAUAAUGUGUAAAUAUUCACUCAUUAAAACAAUACAGAAGAAUCAGUGUUAUAUUGAGAUGCAAGAAGAUGAGUGACCUGUUGUGGAAAGGAGGCCUCCCUGAAAAGUCUAAGCGUGAGCUAUAUGCAUACCCUCUGCAAGAAACCUCAGAAUAUUCAUGAAAGGGGUUCCAAAGCACGAAAUAGUUCAGAGGACUUCAAAAGUUUGGACCUCAUAAUUGCUUGCAGACCUCACUUUGGAUCCCUACUCUUAUCAUUUAUGUGUUUAAAUCCAAAAGAAGGAGAAAUAGCAGAGAAGAGUGAAAAACAAAGUCAUAGGGGGGAAGAACAUGCCUGGGACGCCUUUUGCCAUCAAGCGUGAUCAUUCCAUGGUGUCAAGGACAGCAUUUAUCCAAG